AUUGAACGCUGGCGGCAGGCCUAACACAUGCAAGUCGAGCGAGCGGCGGACGGGUGAGUAAUGUCUGGGGACUGCCCGAUAGAGGGGGAUAACCACUGGAAACGGUAGCUAAUACCGCAUACUCUCGUAUAACCCAAAUGGAAUUAGCUAGUAGGUGAGGUAAGGUCUCACAUAGGUGACGAUCCCUAGCUGGUCUGAGAGUAUGAUCAGCCAACUUGGAACUGAGACACGGCCCAGACGCCUACGGAGGCAGCAGUGGGGAAUAUUGCACAAUGGGCGAAAGCCUGAUGCAGCCAAGCCGCGUGUAUGAAGAAGGCCCUCGGUUUGUAAAGUACUUUCAGUCGGGAGGCGUUACCGACAGAGGAAGCCCCGGCUAACUCCGUGCCAGCAGCCGCGGUAAUUC
RNAcentral lists this ribosomal RNA (403 nucleotides) under uncultured bacterium. RNAcentral's name for it is "partial 16S ribosomal RNA". It matches the Rfam family "Bacterial small subunit ribosomal RNA", at positions 30 to 526 of the family's 1533-position model. The record is from RNAcentral.